GACGAACGCUGGCGGCGUGCUUAACACAUGCCAGUCGAACGGAAAGGCCCUGCUUUUGUGGGGUGCUCGAGUGGCGAACGGGUGAGUAACACGUGAGUAACCUGCCCUUGACUUUGGGAUAACUUCAGGAAACUGGGGCUAAUACCGGAUAGGAGCUCCUGCUGCAUGGUGGGGGUUGGAAAGUUUCGGCGGUUGGGGAUGGACUCGCGGCUUAUCAGCUUGCUGGUGGGGUAGUGGCUUACCAAGGCUUUGACGGGUAGCCGGCCUGAGAGGGUGACCGGCCACAUUGGGACUGAGAUACGGCCCAGUCUCCUACGGGAGGCAGCAGUGGGGAAUAUUGCACAGUGGGCGGAAGCCUGAUGCAGCAACGCCGCGUGCGGGAUGACGGCCUUUGGGUUGUAAACCGCUUUCGCCUGUGACGAAGCGUGAGUGACGGUAAUGGGUAAAGAAGCACCGGCUAACUACGUG
This 468-nucleotide ribosomal RNA is filed under the name uncultured bacterium. Its description in RNAcentral is "partial 16S ribosomal RNA". It matches the Rfam family "Bacterial small subunit ribosomal RNA", at positions 28 to 507 of the family's 1533-position model. The record is from RNAcentral.